RNAcentral lists this ribosomal RNA (620 nucleotides) under uncultured bacterium. RNAcentral's name for it is "bacterial SSU rRNA". It matches the Rfam family "Bacterial small subunit ribosomal RNA", at positions 338 to 944 of the family's 1533-position model. The record is from RNAcentral.
CCUACGGGAGGCAGCAGUGGGGAAUUUUGGACAAUGGGGGCAACCCUGAUCCAGCCAUUCCGCGUGAGUGAAGAAGGCCUUCGGGUUGUAAAGCUCUUUCGCAAGGGAAGAAAACUUAUGAUCGAAUAAAUCAUGAGGUUGACGGUACCUUGAUAAGAAGCACCGGCUAACUACGUGCCAGCAGCCGCGGUAAUACGUAGGGUGCGAGCGUUAAUCGGAAUUACUGGGCGUAAAGCGUGCGCAGGCGGUUUUGUAAGUCGGAUGUGAAAUCCCCGGGCUCAACCUGGGAACUGCGUUCGAAACUGCAAGGCUAGAGUGUGUCAGAGGGGGGUAGAAUUCCACGUGUAGCAGUGAAAUGCGUAGAGAUGUGGAGGAAUACCAAUGGCGAAGGCAGCCCCCUGGGAUAACACUGACGCUCAUGCACGAAAGCGGGGGGAGCAAACAGGAUUAGAUACCCUGGUAGUCCACGCCCUAAACGAUGUCAACUAGUUGUUGGUAGAGUAAAACUCUAUGAGUAACGUAGCUAACGCGUGAAGUUGACCGCCUGGGGAGUACGGUCGCAAGAUUAAAACUCAAAUGAAUUGAGGCUGAGAGNGCGACGACGACGACGAGGGAGGAGG